AACUUUCAACAACGGAUCUCUUGGUUCUGGCAUCGAUGAAGAACGCAGCGAAAUGCGAUACGUAAUGUGAAUUGCAGAAUUCAGUGAAUCAUCGAAUCUUUGAACGCACAUUGCGCCCGCCAGCAUUCUGGCGGGCAUGCCUGUUCGAGCGUCAUUU
RNAcentral lists this ribosomal RNA (157 nucleotides) under Blackwellomyces cardinalis. RNAcentral's name for it is "5.8S ribosomal RNA". It matches the Rfam family "5.8S ribosomal RNA". From Rfam's summary of the family: 5.8S ribosomal RNA (5.8S rRNA) is a component of the large subunit of the eukaryotic ribosome. Lineage: Eukaryota; Fungi; Ascomycota; Sordariomycetes; Hypocreales; Cordycipitaceae. The record is from RNAcentral.